RNAcentral lists this long non-coding RNA (287 nucleotides) under Linum usitatissimum (flax). Its description in RNAcentral is "long non-coding RNA (LUSI_LNC004948)". Lineage: Eukaryota; Viridiplantae; Streptophyta; Magnoliopsida; Malpighiales; Linaceae. The record is from RNAcentral.
CUCGAACAUGGCCGUGAUGUCAUUAGCUCUCCAACAAACCUUUCUCUCGUUGUCAUGCCAAUCUUUUCCUAGUCUUCCCAACACCAUCCUCAGGUCACUUAUGUUCACUCCCUCAUCGUCGUUUAAGUUACUGAGAACAGAACAAGAUUCUGGAGAUUGAUGUAAGUUUGUAGUGAUGCAAGUUUCAGCAGUAGAGCCAAGUUGACAUCUUUGGGACUUGAGUUGCGUUAAGGCCGUCCAUAGAAAGGAGAGCAGCGACAUGAAAGAGUGGGUUAGAUGGAAGAGAC